Long non-coding RNA from Humulus lupulus (European hop), 425 nucleotides. RefSeq lists it as uncharacterized. The transcript is spliced from 3 exons. NCBI's taxonomy places the organism in Eukaryota, Viridiplantae, Streptophyta, Magnoliopsida, Rosales, Cannabaceae. The record is from RefSeq and is a predicted model, not a curated record.
AUUUGUAAUGAUGUAAUCCAUGUAGUUGGAAUAGAAGGGACUACUUCUCCUGUAACUAGUUAGUGCCAAAGAGCCUUGUCCAAAUGGUCAUUUUGAAUUUUCCUGUAACAUGCUUUAAUACCUUAUUGAUUGCUUGGCAGACUUUGAGCUUUAAUUGACCUAUUUCUUGUACUUGAUUUAUUUCUCUGCUCUGUUUGCAGAGGCAAAAUCUGGUCAAAGGGAAUAUGCAACUCUUUUCAGUGGAACAACAAAGAAGUCAAGCUCUGGAAGCUCAUGAUGCUGCUUUUGCACAAUUUAAAGUUCCAGGGAAUGAGAAUCCUUCUACUCUCAUUUCCUUUGCAACAAAGACUUUUAAUGCUGGCCAAAUUACAUCAAAGCUGCAUGUUAUAGAUCUUGGUGCCCAACCAGGGUCAAUAUAAGUCGAC